This is a non-coding RNA of Monopterus albus (swamp eel), 363 nucleotides long. The record is from the annotation of a RefSeq genome assembly. Lineage: Eukaryota; Metazoa; Chordata; Actinopteri; Synbranchiformes; Synbranchidae.
AUGAUGGAUGUCAGGAAAGGACUGCUGCUGUUAGCUAUCUGCUGUGCAGGUGUUGAUGGUCAGACUCUGACAGAAUCUGAACCAAUGGUUAAAAACCCUGGAGAUUCACACAGACUGACAUGUUCAGCCUCUGGAUUCACAUUCAGCAGCUACUGGAUGGGCUGGAUCAGACAGGCUCCUGGAAAAGGACUGGAGUGGAUUGCUUUGGUACACACAUCUAGUUCUCAUAUCUUUUACUCCCAGUCAGUCCAGGGUAGAUUCACCAUCUCCAGAGAUGACUCCAGCAGUAAACUUUAUCUACAGAUGAACAGUCUGAAGACCGAGGACACAGCAGUGUAUUACUGUGUCAGAGACACACAGUGA